AACGAACGCUGGCGGCAUGCCUAACACAUGCAAGUCGAACGAGACCUUCUGGUCUAGUGGCGCACGGGUGCGUAACGCGUGGGAAUCUGCCCUUAGGUACGGGAUAACACAGGGAAACUUGUGCUAAUACCGUAUGAUGACGAAAGUCCAAAGAUUUAUCGCCUAAGGAUGAGCCCGCGUAGGAUUAGCUUGUUGGUGAGGUAAAGGCUCACCAAGGCGACGAUCCUUAGCUGGUCUGAGAGGAUGAUCAGCCACACUGGGACUGAGACACGGCCCAGACUCCUACGGGAGGCAGCAGUGGGGAAUAUUGGACAAUGGGCGAAAGCCUGAUCCAGCAAUGCCGCGUGAGUGAUGAAGGCCCUAGGGUUGUAAAGCUCUUUUACCCGGGAAGAUAAUGACUGUACCGGGAGAAUAAGCCCCGGCUAACUCCGUGCCAGCAGCCGCGGUAAUACGGAGGGGGCUAGCGUUGUUCGGAAUUACUGGGCGUAAAGCGCACGUAGGCGGCUUUGUAAGUUAGAGGUGAAAGCCCGGGGCUCAACCCCGGAAUUGCCUUUAAGACUGCAUCGCUUGAACGUCGGAGAGGUGAGUGGAAUUCCGAGUGUAGAGGUGAAAUUCGUAGAUAUUCGGAAGAACACCAGUGGCGAAGGCGGCUCACUGGACGACUGUUGACGCUGAGGUGCGAAAGCGUGGGAGCAAACAGGAUUAGAUACCCUGGUAGUCCACGCCGUAAACGAUGAUAACUAGCUGUCUGGGCUCUUGCAGCUUAGGUGGCGCAUCUUAGCGCAUUAAGUUAUCCGCCUGGGGAGUACGGCCGCAAGUUUAAA
Molecule: ribosomal RNA, 824 nt
Filed under: uncultured bacterium
Lineage: Bacteria
Description: bacterial SSU rRNA
Rfam family: Bacterial small subunit ribosomal RNA
Source: RNAcentral